GGCAGGAAGGCGCACGGUGCGUGUUGGGUUCUGUUGGAUUACCCUCUCGAGCAUCAGCCCGAAGGUCCCCGUUCGACUCGGGGUCCUGCCA
Non-coding RNA from Mycena rebaudengoi, 91 nucleotides. The record is from the annotation of a GenBank genome assembly. NCBI's taxonomy places the organism in Eukaryota, Fungi, Basidiomycota, Agaricomycetes, Agaricales, Mycenaceae.